Centropristis striata (black sea bass) is the source of this 4808-nucleotide RNA transcript. It is a transcript of the gene named sterile alpha motif domain-containing protein 3-like, with no coding region annotated. NCBI's taxonomy places the organism in Eukaryota, Metazoa, Chordata, Actinopteri, Perciformes, Serranidae. The record is from RefSeq and is a predicted model, not a curated record. The transcript is spliced from 3 exons.
UGUAUGUUCCAAUCCUUCAAAUGAUUCAAGAGUUGUUUAAAAACACAGACAUUCUCAGCAAGAUCAGAGAACCAAACACUGACCCUGGACAUUAUGUGUCAUAUCGUGAUGGCUCUAAUUUCUGUGAAAAUGAAUUACUCUCUAUAGAAGAUCUAAGCCUAGCAAUCCAACUAUAUAUUGAUGACCUUGAAAUUGCUAACCCUCUUGGCACAUCACGAAAAGUUUACAAACUCUGCAGCGUAUACUGGGUCCUGGCCAAUCUGCCGCCAAAGUAUAAAUCAGCAAUGCACACUAUACAACUAGCUGUGUUAGCUAAAGUAACAGACCUGAAGAGAUAUGGAUAUGCAGCUGUACUUGCUCCAUUGGUGCGUGAUGUUCACACUCUUGAACAGGAUGGUGUUUUUAUUGAAUCUGUUGGUCAGAAUGUGAAAGGCACGAUCUUUUGUGUUUCUGCUGACAAUCUGGCUGCUCAUGGAUUAGGUGGCUUCUUAGAGUCAUUCAGAGCAGAAUAUGCUUGCAGAUUCUGUAUGGCUACAAGUGAACAGUUUCAAGCAACUGAGGUCAGAGACGAAGAGUUUGUUCAGAGAACCAAAGCCAGUCAUGACGUUCAUGUACAAAAUGCCCUGAAAAAUGGCAGUGAAUUUGGUGUGAAACAUGACUGUGUGUUGCGUGAGGCACUAGAGUAUUUCCAUCCUAUAACAGGUUUUCCUCCAGAUAUACUACAUGAUCUUUUGGAAGGUAUUGUUCCCAUUGAACUUGCUCUUUGCAUUAAAGAGAUGAUUCGGCUGAAGUUCUUCACUUUGGAGUAUUUGAACCAAAAGAUCACAUCAUUCCCAUACCAGCACACUGAUAAAGUAAAUAGGCCAAAGGCCAUUCACAAGACAUUCAUGACUCGGGGAACAAUAGGAGGGAAUGGGCAUGAAAAUGCCACUCUACUCAGACUACUUCCAUUAUUUGUAGGCAAUAAAGUACCAGAGGGCAAUGCUGCAUGGGCAGUUUUGAUGGAAUUAAAAGAGGUAGUGGAAUUAGCAUUGUGUCCAUCAUUUACUGAUGAAACCAUAGACUAUUUUGUGUGGAAAAUCAGUGAUCACAGACAGACACUGCAAGAGGUUUUUCCUGAGCUUAGGCUUCGUCCUAAGCAUCACUACGUAGAGCAUUAUCCCACCCUAGUAAAGUGCUUUGGGCCCCUAGUGCAUGUUUGGACCAUGCGAUUUGAGGCCAAACAUCGCUUUUUCAAGAGAGUGGUGCAUGAUGCUCAAAACUUCAAAAAUAUUUUGAAGACAUUGGCAACCAGACACCAACACAUGAUGGCAUAUCAUCUACAUGCGCCAUCAUUUUUCAGGCCAAAAACACAAACAGCUAGGGUUGAAUCUGUUUUGGUUUCAGCACUACCAGAAGUAGCUCAGGCUCACAUAAGAGGACAAACAACCAGUGACACAGUCUACCAUACAGCAAAUGUGACCAUUGAUGGCACAGACUAUACUAAUGGAAUGUUUGUGUCAGUUGGUGUCAGUGGUGGACUGUCUAAAUUUUGCAAACUAGCGCAGAUCUACCUUGUGAAUAACAAUGUUUCUUUUCUCUGUUGUGAUUUUGACUCCUGGUAUGUAGAACAUCUUCGAUCCUACGAGUUGUCAGCCACACAGACGAGCCUGUCCAUCCACCUGCAAUCUGAGUUCAAUGAUACAGUCCCACUGUCUGCAUACAAGGUAGACGGCGUGCUCCUCUUGACUCCAAAGAGGUUCAUUCAAGUGAAACAGUCUUGAGACCACUCAGUGGUAAGUAACUGAAUCAGAAUUUGCACUGUUUUAAAGAAAUAUGCUUAUAAUCAAUAGGUGCAUCAUGACAUGACACCUGUCAUAAACAUGGAGUCUUUAUGAAUGUUGUUGUAGGUUGCUGUUGUUAGGUUAGUUAUGGAAUGUCUUUGUUCUGACAACUUGAAAUUGACUAAGACAACACAAACAUGCCAAAUCAGGUCUAAUUAUCAUAUGUGAAGAGACUGUUUAUCUCAACAACAAUGGUAUAUUUUGGAAAGCAAAUAAAUAAAUAUAUCAGUACUGGGGUGAUUUAGCAGUGAAUUAUUCAUGUUUAUGACGAGUGUUAUAUCAUGGUUAUGACAGUGCAGUGACAGUUCUUUACACACUCCUUCAAAUAAACUCAAUCUUUUAUUCUAUGAAAUGUCUCUUCAUUCAUUAGCGCAAUGGCAGCGGAAGCCUCACAAAACAUGAUCCUUCGCGUCAUUGAGAUGGACCGUGUAAGAAAAGUAAAACUCAGCUCUCGGCCAGCCUCUGUUGAGGCACUGAUUCAGAUUUUAAAAGAACAAUUGGAAUUGGACGCUGACUUCAGUUUGCAGUACGAAGAUCCAGACUUCGAUGGAAAACUUACUUCCUUGGUUGAAAUUGAGGAGCUGCCACAAAAAGCCGUUGUUCAUAUUUCACUUACACAAGAUUCCAGUUCUGUUGCGUCCACUGAAACACUGUCAGAUGUAUCAUCCCCGGAACGUCUAAGCAGAUGGCCUCCAGGUUCUUUUCAAAUUCCCACAUUUGGAUUUGACGUUGAGCUGACACUUAGACAAGGGAAUACUGAAUUUGAGAAGACUGGAAGACCUCUUAAGUUGUCAAGAGACCAAAAGCACGAUAUUUUAGAAAAACUUGCAUCUGUUAUAUUUGGGUUCAAGGCUUACCCAAGCGACAAAGAGAUAGCAAUGGUAGCGGAGGCUCUUGUGGCUAAACAUCCCUGUUUAAAAGAAGCAGGAUCUACCACUGGAUGGAAUGGGUGGAAGAACAGCAUCAAGUUCAAAAUGGGCAAUUACAGGACCAAGAUGAGAAGGGCUGGAUGCCAAGAGGUCACUGUAAAUGCUGGAAAAAGAAGCCAAAGAAACCCAGAGAAUGAACCUUCCCACUCCAACAUCAAACGACCAAAGCGUGCAGAAGUAAACUUUCUGCCCAACUUUCCCCAAGGGGAGGAUCCCUCAAGUCUUGAACAUCUGAGGCAGGUAAUUGUUGAAGAAGUAAAGAAGACCGAGAGAAACCUACCUCUCAUUAGUAAGAUGAUGCAGACCACGUUUGCCUUGCGGAGAAAGACCAUAGUGAUGUCCUGCCCACCAGUCAAACAGCUCAUGGAGCUCUGGCCUGCUCUUCAGAUGCAGUCUGAGGUAUAUGCAGAGUUCCAGCGCAUAACAAACCAGAACCUGCCUAAUACAUUCUACGGAGAGCUUGAUCGGCACACUCCACGUUUGAUGACCUUAUUCAGGCAGAAGGCAUCCAAAACUGGAAGGACUUCAGAUGCUUUGGCUGCCAUUUUCAAAGUGCAUGAUGAACAGGAAUCACAUGAUGUGUACACAAGGCGUACCACUAUCCUACAUGCCCUUCCUGUAUAUCUGCGGGAGGAAAUCUCUGGAUUUUACAGAACAUGCGUGGUAAGUCCCAAUAAAAUAAUAUCAAGCCCUGUCUGUAUUAUUAAGACAUUAAUAUUUUGAUUUUGUUUAAUGACAACACCUGCAUCAACAUUUUGUGAAAUCUUCGAGAGAUGUUUUUAAACCUGUAAAGUCUGUGCUGAUUUUGCAGACAAAAUCAUAUAAGUCAAUAGCCCUGUAAUGCCACACUUCCAAGUCAUCUCACCUUCUCUGUGACAAAGCAGUAAAAUGAAGAGAGGUCCAUCGGACUUGUAUACACAGUAUUUUUUUAUGACAUUUAACUGUAAUCUAAAUAAUUUGCUUCCCACACCCUUAGUACCCAUUGUGUUUCAGUAGACAUGAUUAAUUUAUGCGUAUAAUCUCUCUUCAUUCUUUUAGGAUGAUUUAGAGGAGCCAGAUGUCACAGAUGCAACGGUGGCCCUCCUUACAACCAUCAGCGAAAAUACCAUGAGUCCAGUCCACUACCACCCGGUAAAAACCUCUGUUGUCCUCGAAGGUGAUGUGGUGGUCAGCCUCCCCAGACUUGAUGAUGGAUUCCUCGUAAUGUUCGGCCUAAUCUAUGCGCUACAUCUGAACUAUCCCCAAGGACUGACCAACACUUUUGAGUUCAUUCAGAAAGUCGUACUUGGUCUGGAUGAGGGUAAAUUGUCACCCAGGCUGCAGACACUCAAGAAUGACUUGAUGAUAUGAUGAUGACAUCAUCUACAACAGUGUCCAUGUUGACGACUGUUUAACUGUGUUGAAGUUACUCCACAGGCCUAUUUGUUCAUGCAGUUUCACAUUUUAAAGGAAAACACAGUUCAUAGUGUUGAACUUUGUUUAGAUUUUCGUAAUUUAGUUGCUGGGACCUUAUUUCCCUCUGAGGACUUCUUGUUUAUUCUAUGGUAUGCUUCUUGUUUUAUUAUAUGGUGAAAAAAUGUUUAAAUUCAUUUUCCAAAGCUACAUACCUUGAAGUUCAAAGUUUAAAGCAAAUGUAAACCUUUGUACAUGUUAAUGUGGAUUUUUUUUUUAAAUAUAUAUAAUGUUGCCCUACAGUAUUACAACCACAUAGUCCAGCUUUUGUUUUGCUUUUUGUCUUUCAAAUAUAUAUUACUAUGUUUCAGUAUGUGCUAAAAAGGAAGAGUCAUUGACCAUGUUUGGGGUUUUUUUUUUGCCAUUGUUUUUUUUUGUUUGUUUGUUUGUUUUUUAGUUAGUAGGACUCAAUGCAAUUGUAAUAUUUUAAGUUUUGGGGUUUUAUGAAAUCAAAUUUUUUUGAGGUCUGGUUAGUUAAAAGAUUUAAAAAAAGACUAAUAAAUAUUGAGUUCAUAAAACAUAUUUGUAUGUGUUUUUGUACUUAAACUUAUUCUGUUCUGUUAAUUAAUAUCUUUGAAAAAUAAAAACAUACAUUUUGAGUUUA